Molecule: transfer RNA, 73 nt
Filed under: Bacillota bacterium
Lineage: Bacteria; Bacillati; Bacillota
Description: Firmicutes bacterium (hot springs metagenome) tRNA-Arg
Rfam family: tRNA
About the family: Transfer RNA (tRNA) molecules are approximately 80 nucleotides in length. Their secondary structure includes four short double-helical elements and three loops (D, anti-codon, and T loops).
Source: RNAcentral
CCACCCAUAGCUCAGUGGAUAGAGCGACGGAUUCCGGAUCCGUGUGUCGGAGGUUCGAAUCCUCUUGGGUGGG